RNAcentral lists this ribosomal RNA (249 nucleotides) under uncultured bacterium. Its description in RNAcentral is "partial 16S ribosomal RNA". It matches the Rfam family "Bacterial small subunit ribosomal RNA", at positions 28 to 279 of the family's 1533-position model. The record is from RNAcentral.
GACGAACGCUGGCGGCGUGCUUAACACAUGCAAGUCGAGCGGUAAGGCCCUUUCGGGGUACGACGAGCGGCGAACGGGUGAGUAACACGUGGGUGACCUGCCCUCAGCUCUGGGAGUAAGCCCGGGAAACUGGUCUAAUACUGGAUAUGACUCCACGGUGCAUGUCGUGGGGUGGAAAGCCUUGUGCGGCUGAGGAUGGGCCCGCGGCCUAUCAGCUUGUUGGUGGGGUGAUGGCCACCAAGGCGACGA